RNAcentral lists this ribosomal RNA (492 nucleotides) under uncultured bacterium. RNAcentral describes it as "partial 16S ribosomal RNA". It matches the Rfam family "Bacterial small subunit ribosomal RNA", at positions 29 to 507 of the family's 1533-position model. The record is from RNAcentral.
AGUGAACGCUGGCGGUAGGCCUAACACAUGCAAGUCGAACGGCAGCACAGUAAGAGCUUGCUCUUACGGGUGGCGAGUGGCGGACGGGUGAGGAAUACAUCGGAAUCUACUUUUUCGUGGGGGAUAACGUAGGGAAACUUACGCUAAUACCGCAUACGACCUACGGGUGAAAGCAGGGGAUCUUCGGACCUUGCGCGAUUGAAUGAGCCGAUGUCGGAUUAGCUAGUUGGCGGGGUAAAGGCCCACCAAGGCGACGAUCCGUAGCUGGUCUGAGAGGAUGAUCAGCCACACUGGACUUGAGCCAAGGUACAGACUCCUACGGGAGGCAGCAGUGGGGAAUAUUGGAUAAUGGGCGCAAGCCUGAUCCAGCCCUACCGCGUGGGUGACGAAGGCCUUCGGGUUGUAAAGCCAUUUUGUUGGGAAAGAAAAGCAGCAGGUUAAUACCCCACUGUUCUGACGGUACCCAAAGAAUAAGCACCGGCUAACUUCGUG